GUCGUCUUCACCGAGGAGGGGACCUCACCACCCUCUCCCCGAACGGCCUCCCACACCGUCUCGAGGCGUUCUCCUUUGGGCUCUAUGACGUGACUAAGCUCUGCUGUAGGCUCCCGUGAGGCAUUUAGGGUAGUACGUACUGCUGCUCAGAGAAUGCCCUUACUUGGCCCUUCUGAAGGAUUUCACCAGGAAUCGCAGCUCGAUGGAAAUUUCACUCUAAAUACGGUAGUGGAUGCACCCCUCGGUCGGAGCUGAGGGUGCAGUCGACGUUUUUCUACACGAGAUGGAGCUAAAGAGUACAGCGCCCCCGCGAUUGGUGGUGACACGAUGAAAAAGGAGUUUGGGCAGAAGGUGCAUUUUUUUUUUUUUUU
Molecule: long non-coding RNA, 371 nt
Organism: Hyaena hyaena (striped hyena)
Lineage: Eukaryota; Metazoa; Chordata; Mammalia; Carnivora; Hyaenidae
Exons: 2
Source: RefSeq, a predicted model, not a curated record